RNAcentral lists this long non-coding RNA (581 nucleotides) under Zonotrichia albicollis (white-throated sparrow). Its description in RNAcentral is "lncRNA (ENSZALG00000009637.1)". The record is from RNAcentral. Lineage: Eukaryota; Metazoa; Chordata; Aves; Passeriformes; Passerellidae.
UGAAAAUAUAACCAUUUUGUUCCAAUUGCAGAGCAUUUUUAGCUUGAGUCAAUCAGAUCCUUUUCCCAGAGGCACACAAGGGCAGCACAGCAGCUUAGCAGCUUUUUGGGAGCUCAGUUCAAGGGAGAUGUUCUGUCUCAGAGCUGUCCAUGGUGCUUUUCAGUGGCUGUGAACAGAUGCUGCACAGCUCUCUAGAGAAUAUCAGGAAGAGCCAAGAGGAAGCAGCAUGCAGAGUGCAUCCAGGCCUGUGGCACUCCAGAGCUGUGGCCCUUGGGAAUUCUGCUGACAGUUCUGCCACUGCCAAGCAGCCCCGAGACACCGAGUGCUGAGCCCAGCGAUCCUGCACGGGCAGCGCCGCUGACAAAGCCCGCGAAGAGGCGAAGGAGCCGCGGGAAGCGCUCCCUCCCCGGCCGCUGCCUCCCGGAAGAUGGAGCUGUUUCCCUGACACAGCUGAUGGAGACCUGGUAAGUUCAGUGUCACGUGCAGUUGGGGAAUUCUUACAGAUGUCAGAGAUUUCUUCUUCACAGCUGAGAGAAAGAAAUGAGCCCACUGACCAUAAUUAUUUUAUUAUAAAAUAAGAG